AUGAACGCUGGCGGCGUGCUUAACACAUGCAAGUCGAACGGAAAGGCCCAAGCUUGCUUGGGUACUCGAGUGGCGAACGGGUGAGUAACACGUGGGUGAUCUGCCCUGCACUUCGGGAUAAGCCUGGGAAACUGGGUCUAAUACCGGAUAGGACCACAUUUUGGAUGGUGUGGUGGAAAGUUUUUCGGUGUGGGAUGAGCUCGCGGCCUAUCAGCUUGUUGGUGGGGUAAUGGCCUACCAAGGCGUCGACGGGUAGCCGGCCUGAGAGGGUGUACGGCCACAUUGGGACUGAGAUACGGCCCAGACUCCUACAGGAGGCAGCAGUGGGGAAUAUUGCACAAUGGGCGCAAGCCUGAUGCAGCGACGCCGCGUGGGGGAUGACGGCCUUCGGGUUGUAAACUCCUUUCGCUAGGGACGAAGCGCAAGUGACGGUACCUGGAGAAGAAGCACCGGCUAACUACGUG
RNAcentral lists this ribosomal RNA (464 nucleotides) under uncultured bacterium. RNAcentral's name for it is "partial 16S ribosomal RNA". It matches the Rfam family "Bacterial small subunit ribosomal RNA", at positions 29 to 507 of the family's 1533-position model. The record is from RNAcentral.